UACUCCUUUAUUUUAACCUUAAAUGUUACAUUUUCAUGGCUCUUUGAGUCCUUGUGAGAUGCUAAUUAUGAGCUGACAAUGCUCAUGAGCUUCUCUGAAAUUCUCCAAAUACCUACUAGCCCUGGGUGCUCCACAGUGCUCUUGAUGGCCAAAUAACAGUUUUUUAAACUACCUGAAAUAGACCCAAGGCCUCUCAUGAUGAUUUUUCAAGGUUCACAACAAUUUCCUAGUAAUCUCUUUCUGAUCGUGAUUGUUCUCCAUUAUAUAUUUAUCUGCCUCCAUUAAUGGAAGGUUUGGGAUUAGGACUAAUUUUCAGAGACAAUCAGAUGCCUGAAUUCAUGGUUAUUAUCUUGGAGAGUCACUGUUUGUCAUUCACCAGAAAGAUGCCCACCGACCAUGGUCUGAUCAGAUACAAAAAUAUUUGAAUGCGCAGGACGCCAGGACCCAACACCUUACCAGUCAAAGCAUGCCUCAAAAUUGCCAGAUAUGUGUUGUCUUAGUCGUCCAGAACUAGGGUCCUGUUCUCUUUUUUCAAAUACAGUUGGCCAAAAAACUCUAAAACAUUUUUCUCUCUUCUGUCAUCAUCAUUUUCCCAAUUAAACUGUGACCCUUGGGGAUUUCAUCUCCCCAUCAAUGUCCAUAAGUUCACCUGCCUUCCGCUCGCCGCAUUUUGAAGCCCAUUGACCUCCUAGCACUGAGCAACACAGACCAAGGAUGUGCAGUGAAGCCCAGUUUACCUCUUAGUCGUCCCGAGUUGUGGCUAGGAUAACCAAGUUACCAAGAGAAAAAGGCCAAAAGGGUGAAUUGGAGGCACAAGAGGUGAAUUUUGGUUGCGAUUAGAUGAGCUUUAUGUGCGAUCACUUGGCAGUCAGGGGCUCAGGGCGCCCCACCUGAUUCCCCCAUAAUUCCACCCUAACUGCCAUUGAUGAGACUCAGGAGCUGAUGAUUAAUCUCCAGUCCAAAAUUAAAGUCCAUUUUGGCUGAUAUUUUUUCGUUUAAUCCUAACUUGUUAUACCUAAUCUUAUAUUGGAGUUAUUUCGUACUAGAAAGGAGCCACGCCCCUGGCAUGCACUGAUUGCCAUUUUUUACUGAGGGUUAUAUGUGAAAUUUGUGAGAUCGGCGAUAUCUCAAAUGGCCUUUUGCAGAAUACAUAUACAUCCAAAGAAAGAAAUAGCGUAGAAUAGCAUCGAUAUCUCAAAUGGCUUUUUGCAUGACACAUAUACGUCCAAAGAAAGAAAUAGCAUAGAACCAUAAGAAUGUUGUAUGUAAGAUGGAAAAUAGGCUUCUUAUCUUGACCCUUUCAGUAUAAUGUAUUUACAAUGGCAGGAUGCAAGCAAUAGAAGUAUAAAUAGUUAUGACUUAUGACCAAGGUACUGUAACACUAUAUAUAUGAACGACCAACAAACAUCCAGCCAGUACCACUAUCGGGCAUUUGGAAGAUAUAUACAACAAAACAGAAAAAUAUCAGACUCGCUGACUGCUGGCAAAGGAACACAUACAUCUAGUAAUACAGAUCGGAUAUAAGAACUACAUAGACAACCACUUUAAGGUUGCAAAAAAUAGGUUCUUGUUCUUGGUGAGGUAUCUUCUCGCCAUGAGGCGGCGGUUCAAAAUCUAGCGUGCAAUGAAUCAAUCCAAAUGUAUAUCCUCCGUCCUGAAUUAACUGACGUGAAUUCUAUACAAAUUCACGUCAGUUAAAUCGGGACGGAGGGAGUAUGUUUUUACUCAUUGAACCUGACAAUUAUCUAUGCAUCAAAACUGUCUGAUGGUAUGAGUACUGUUUGGUACAGUUCACAGUUGUCAUAUAUGAUGCACAUAUUAGCGUGUCAUGUGGGGGCGCACGUAUAGGCGCCGGCCACCUAGGGAAGAGAAGGACCCAAUGUCUGGGUCAGCUUAGUUAAUUUGAGUAAUUAAGAAUCCAGAUUGGAGAUAGAAAGGUUUCGUCCCGUAGAAUGUUUUCCCUACUAUUUCCAAUCUGAUUAGGAAUUCUAUUCCAAUUCUGUAAGAGUCUAGCUUGUUCUCCAAGUUUGUAAGGGCUAUUUAUAGUCCCCCCUAGUCAAUAAAUAAAGCAAGCAAUCAAAACCUAAACCCUAUUUUCCCCUGCGCCCAGGGCGCCCCCAAUUCCCUGCCACGGGGUGACGAGGUUACAAGCCUCGUCCUCCCGUAGAGCACCCCUACUUGCUGCGAUCUUCCUCUAGUUCCCAAAUUCCCCAAGCACGUGCCAUAGCAUCUCAUGUACGGAGCUUUAAAUGGCAUUUUAUAUCUCCUUAUUCUCUGUUAGCUGUAAAGGAAAGAGAAGUAUUAUAGACAAACUGCGAUCUUGCCUAUCUCGAUCUCUUCAUAUAAGUUGUUGUGAGCAUGGAGGAAAUAGGUCUACAGAAUAUUUUCACAGGCAAAAGGUCUGGCAUUUUUCUUCAAUAAAACACAAGAUGCAUUGACAUAGGUAGCUCAACACUGCUUCUUCCGUGAUAUCUCAACCGAUCAGACAAAUCUCAUAUUUAUAAGAACUUAAAUGUAAGCAACCUGUAAUAACACAUCAAGAUAAAAAUUUAACAUGACAGUGAGAAGGAAUACAAUGUUCUAGAGCUACCAGUAGUACAGUACGCUACUAUAGGCCCACAGUUAGUGUAUUUAGAUUUGAAAUAAGUCCAUUUUACCCCCCCUGAACUUCUCGUAAAGUUUAAAAAACACCCUGAACUCUAAAACCGGGUAUUUUACCCUCCUGAACUUUAGAAACCGGGCACCCUGACCCCCCUCUGCCUGUUUCGCUGAUUUUAGGUGGGUUUGGCCCCGUUGACUGCAACCGUGGCAUGCUACGCUGUCAAGCGAACCAUUUGACCCCGUCCCGCAUCUGACCUCCUCUCUCUCCUCUCAUAUUCCCAAAUGAGGAACCCAAUCCUGCGGCAAUACACCAUUGACGAGCGUGACAGAUUGGGGAAAUUGGCACGCACUGCAGUAGGGGGAAAUUGGCACGCACUGCAGAAGAGAAUCGGGCGGGAGAGUGAUGGAAUCGACCCUGCAGAAGAGUCUCGGGCGGGGGCAAGAGGAAAACUGACCUGCGCCAUGGCCGCCACCAAGCUUCACCGCUGCUGCCGCCAAGCAUCUUCCUCCUUCCUCUUCUCCCUCCUGUGCCUCCCUCCCCUUCUCUUUUGCGCGCUGCCCCUUUGCUCCUCUGGCGCCGCCGCUGCUACUGCAUCUCGCGCAGCCCCCUCUGCUCCUCCAUCUCACUCUGCCACGAGCCGCCGGAGGCAGCGCCGGCUUGGAGGUGGGUCGAUCAGGAGCAGCGUCGCGUAGGUGAAGGCCCCCGCCGCAGCGCCCACGCAGGCCCUGAUGGCUGUGCGCGCGAGCGGGGUCGACAGUUGCGCCUGCGCCACCGGAGGAAGGGAGCGCAAGGGUGAGCAGCUGCAAAGUAGAAGUCGGCUUGGACGACAGCAUCUCCGCUUGUCGCCGGAGCCGGCGCCGCCCGCGUGCUGGGAAUCGGUGGACGUGGAGAGGGCUGGGGAUCCGGAGAACACGAGAGAAAGAGAGGAGACAGGAGUCGGGCUCGGGAAGGGGAAUCUGGGACACAUCGACGACUUCCAGCGUGGCAGUGCCACCGUGGCAGUCAACAAGGUCAAAUCCGCCUUCCUCACAGCAAAACAGCCAAAUACAGGCUGAGGGGUGUCGGGUGCCUGGUUUCUAAAUUUAAGGGGGCUAAAAUACCCGGUUUUAGAGUUCAGGGUGUUUUUUGAACUUUUCGAUAAGUUCAGGGGGAUAAAAUGGACUUAUUUCUUUAGAUUUCUGUAAAGAAAAUAAUCACUACCAGGACUAUUAUUGAGAUGAUACAAAAUCAUCCUCAAAUAAUCACAUAUAUUGGAAAAUUAUAUGGUUAGUCUUUCUCCCUGGCCAGCAGAAAUGGAGCACCCGACAGUUUAAAAGGAACAAAUUGCUUAGUCAUGUCAUGAAGCAAAUAUCCAUUUGUUGAGCAAAAGUCUUAGAUAGAAUAUUUAUUUAUCGCCUAAAAGCAGAGCAUAGCCACAUCUUGAGCAGAUCUAGGCGCAGGGGAAUCGGAACCUGAGAACUACCGAACGUUCGUUUGGAUACGCUGAGCUUAUGAAUGUGGAAAGGAGCCCUGUAACUAAUUGAACAACCACCAACUAAUUGGGACUUUAAUUCAUGCGCCGAAGAACUGUCUAAACUUUUUGAUGACAAGUAGAAGUACAGUACCACUUAUCAUGAAGUCAUAAGCAGAAGAUACCUACAGUGAAAAGCCAAAAGGAACAUGAAUAAAACUCAGAUAACACGGACCAUCUAAAAUAUUGAAAGAAUAUUGCUGUUUACUUCAUGUAGCAAGCCCAUAAAAGAAUCAUUAGGCACAAACACAACAUGGUGUAAGAUAAGCAAGUGCCACAAUGUUAUACAGCCCAUCUAAAAUCAGCAAACCGUAGGUAGUAAGACUAUUUUUCUGUCAGAACCAGCACACGUUUGAUCUAGUGAAGCAGGGUGACAAAUUUUUUUUUUUCGAGCAACCUACAACCAAUCUGCAGUCCACAAAGAAUGAAAAUUGGUAGGAAAAAAUAUAGGAAGAACUGAUCAUAUAAAAAGAGCCUGGAAAAUUUGUAUGCAUCAGACUUCAUGAAGAAAAACAGUCUUCCAUUUAGUGUUUACAGCAAAUAGUCUCGUUGCUUCAGAACUCAGAAGUGUCACAAAACAACUUCAUUCGUAAACAUGAACAACCAAUCCAAGCCUAAGCUUGUUGCAGGGAUGCCAGAUUGGCAGUGUCCCAUUGGAUCUAAAAGAACCCAAAAUGAGAAAGAACCUUGGACAUAUAAAAGGGUUCAUGACCUGAUUUUCAGAAGCUAACUAAAAGGCAAUGAACAGGGAAUGUUUCUAAAUCGGUAAUCUGACCCCACCACCUUUCAAUCACAAGCAAACACACUAAAGUCAGCUUCUUGCAAAUAAAGUAGUCUUCUUACGGAACGGGACAGGCAAGGUUUUAUUAUGCAUAAGCGGUUCACAUUUUCCAAAAGAACUAAAAACUUAACGCCAUUGCAUUUUUGUUUUUUUAGGAAUGAAAUAAUUGUGCUAAUAUAUGAAUGAAACUCAUAUUGAAUCUGAGGUUUUAUAGUAAGAGAAGAGGCUUGCAUCAAAAGCAGUGCAAAAUGAAGGAAAUUU
Long non-coding RNA from Brachypodium distachyon (stiff brome), 5154 nucleotides. RefSeq lists it as uncharacterized. The transcript is spliced from 2 exons. Lineage: Eukaryota; Viridiplantae; Streptophyta; Magnoliopsida; Poales; Poaceae. The record is from RefSeq and is a predicted model, not a curated record.